Molecule: ribosomal RNA, 449 nt
Filed under: uncultured bacterium
Lineage: Bacteria
Description: partial 16S ribosomal RNA
Rfam family: Bacterial small subunit ribosomal RNA
Source: RNAcentral
UUCCAGACUCCUACGGGAGGCAGCAGUGGGGAAUAUUGCACAAUGGGGGAAACCCUGAUGCAGCGACGCCGCGUGAGUGAAGAAGUAUUUCGGUAUGUAAAGCUCUAUCGGCAGGAAAGAAAAUGACGGUACUUGACUAAGAAGCCCCGGCUAACUACGUGCCAGCAGCCGCGGUAAUACGUAGGGGGCAAGCGUUAUCCGGAUUUACUGGGUGUAAAGGGAGCGUAGACGGUGAAGCAAGUCUGAAGUGAAAGGCGGGGGCUCAACCCCCGGACUGCUUUGGAAACUGUUUGACUGGAGUGCAGGAGAGGUAAGUGGAAUUCCUAGUGUAGCGGUGAAAUGCGUAGAUAUUAGGAGGAACACCAGUGGCGAAGGCGGCUUACUGGACGGUAACUGACGUUGAGGCUCGAAAGCGUGGGGAGCAAACAGGAUUAGAUACCCCAGUACAC